RNAcentral lists this ribosomal RNA (561 nucleotides) under uncultured bacterium. Its description in RNAcentral is "bacterial SSU rRNA". It matches the Rfam family "Bacterial small subunit ribosomal RNA", at positions 338 to 916 of the family's 1533-position model. The record is from RNAcentral.
CCUACGGGAGGCAGCAGUGGGGAAUAUUGGACAAUGGGCGAAAGCCUGAUCCAGCAAUGCCGCGUGAGUGAUGAAGGCCUUAGGGUUGUAAAGCUCUUUUACCCGGGAUGAUAAUGACAGUACCGGGAGAAUAAGCUCCGGCUAACUCCGUGCCAGCAGCCGCGGUAAUACGGAGGGAGCUAGCGUUGUUCGGAAUUACUGGGCGUAAAGCGUACGUAGGCGGUUAUUCAAGUCAGAGGUGAAAGCCUGGAGCUCAACUCCAGAACUGCCUUUGAAACUAGGUAGCUAGAAUCUUGGAGAGGUUAGUGGAAUUCCGAGUGUAGAGGUGAAAUUCGUAGAUAUUCGGAAGAACACCAGUGGCGAAGGCGACUAACUGGACAAGUAUUGACGCUGAGGUACGAAAGCGUGGGGAGCAAACAGGAUUAGAUACCCUGGUAGUCCACGCCGUAAACGAUGAUAACUAGCUGUUCGGGCUCUACGAGCUUGAGUGGCGCAGCUAACGCAUUAAGUUAUCCGCCUGGGGAGUACGGUCGCAAGAUUAAAACUCAAAGGAAUUGACGG